AGUGAACGCUGGCGGUAGGCCUAACACAUGCAAGUCGAACGGCAGCACAGUAAGAGCUUGCUCUUACGGGUGGCGAGUGGCGGACGGGUGAGGAAUACAUCGGCAUCUACUUUUUCGUGGGGGAUAACGUAGGGAAACUUACGCUAAUACCGCAUACGACCUACGGGUGAAAGCAGGGGAUCUUCGGACCUUGCGCGAGUGAAUGAGCCGAUGUCGGAUUAGCUAGUUGGUGGGGUAAAGGCACACCAAGGCGACGAUCCGAAGCUGGUCUGAGAGGGUGAUCGGCCACACUGGAACUGAGACACGGUCCAGACUCGUACGGGAGGCAGCAGUGGGGAAUAUUGGACAAUGGGAGCAAGCCUGAUCCAGCCAUACCGCGUCGGUGAAGAAGGCCUUCGGGUUGUAAAGCCCUUUUGUUGGGAAAGAAAAGCAGCAGGUUAAUACCCCGCUGUUCUGACGGUACCCAAAGAAUAAGCACCGGCUAACUUCGUG
RNAcentral lists this ribosomal RNA (492 nucleotides) under uncultured bacterium. RNAcentral describes it as "partial 16S ribosomal RNA". It matches the Rfam family "Bacterial small subunit ribosomal RNA", at positions 29 to 507 of the family's 1533-position model. The record is from RNAcentral.